UACGUAGGGUCCGAGCGUUGUCCGGAAUUAUUGGGCGUAAAGGGCUCGUAGGCGGUUUGUCGCGUCGGGAGUGAAAACACGGGGCUUAACCCCGUGCCUGCUUCCGAUACGGGCAGACUAGAGGUAUGCAGGGGAGAACGGAAUUCCUGGUGUAGCGGUGAAAUGCGCAGAUAUCAGGAGGAACACCAAUUGCGAAGGCAGCUCGCGGGGACGUUACUGACGCUGAGACGCGAAAGCGUGGGGAGCAAACAGG
Molecule: ribosomal RNA, 253 nt
Filed under: uncultured bacterium
Lineage: Bacteria
Description: partial 16S ribosomal RNA
Rfam family: Bacterial small subunit ribosomal RNA
Source: RNAcentral